UACGAAGGGGGCUAGCGUUGCUCGGAAUCACUGGGCGUAAAGGGUGCGUAGGCGGGUCUUUAAGUCAGGGGGGAAAUCCUGGAGCUCAACUCCAGAACUGCCUUUGAUACUGAAGAUCUUGAGUUCGGGAGAGGUGAGUGGAACUGCGAGUGUAGAGGUGAAAUUCGUAGAUAUUCGCAAGAACACCAGUGGCGAAGGUGGCUCACUGGCCCGAAACUGACGCUGAGGCACGAAAGCGUGGGGAGCAAACAGG
Molecule: ribosomal RNA, 253 nt
Filed under: uncultured bacterium
Lineage: Bacteria
Description: partial 16S ribosomal RNA
Rfam family: Bacterial small subunit ribosomal RNA
Source: RNAcentral